GCUUCAGUUGGUUUAUUUUCUAACAGAAAUAUUUUAGGCGAAAGUACAAUUUAGUACUAUGUAGUUUCACGCUUGUUGCGAGUAGGGGUUGUGAUUCACCUUGGUACUAUGUGAAUAACAACAUUAGAUAAUUCUGUGCCAAAUCUUGUUAAAAUGUUAAUUUAGCCUAUGUGGCAAGGGGAUUUGGUAUUUUUUAUUUGUUUCAUU
Molecule: unclassified non-coding RNA, 207 nt
Filed under: Hevea brasiliensis (rubber tree)
Lineage: Eukaryota; Viridiplantae; Streptophyta; Magnoliopsida; Malpighiales; Euphorbiaceae
Source: RNAcentral